This 539-nucleotide ribosomal RNA is filed under the name Klebsiella granulomatis. RNAcentral describes it as "bacterial SSU rRNA". It matches the Rfam family "Bacterial small subunit ribosomal RNA", at positions 93 to 630 of the family's 1533-position model. Lineage: Bacteria; Pseudomonadati; Pseudomonadota; Gammaproteobacteria; Enterobacterales; Enterobacteriaceae. The record is from RNAcentral.
GAGCGGCGGACGGGUGAGUAAUGUCUGGGAAACUGCCUGAUGGAGGGGGAUAACUACUGGAAACGGUAGCUAAUACCGCAUAAYGUCGCAAGACCAAAGUGGGGGACCUUCGGGCCUCAUGCCAUCAGAUGUGCCCAGAUGGGAUUAGCUAGUAGGUGGGGUAACGGCUCACCUAGGCGACGAUCCCUAGCUGGUCUGAGAGGAUGACCAGCCACACUGGAACUGAGACACGGUCCAGACUCCUACGGGAGGCAGCAGUGGGGAAUAUUGCACAAUGGGCGCAAGCCUGAUGCAGCCAUGCCGCGUGUGUGAAGAAGGCCUUCGGGUUGUAAAGCACUUUCAGCGGGGAGGAAGGCGWURAGGUUAAUAACCUUGGCGAUUGACGUUACCCGCAGAAGAAGCACCGGCUAACUCCGUGCCAGCAGCCGCGGUAUACGGAGGGUGCAAGCGUUAAUCGGAAUUACUGGGCGUAAGCGCACGCAGGCGGUCUGUCAAGUCGGAUGUGAAAUCCCCGGGCUCAACCUGGGAACUGCAUUCGA